AAAGAGGGAGAGAUGGCGUCUGAAUAGGCAGUGACAUAAGGAAUGGUUGGUUUCCUUUCACACACUCACUGUGGACGCUCGUGUGUUACUGUCAGUGCUGCUCCUCAGCCUCCGAGCAGAUAUUUUCUCUGAACAUGGCAACCUUCCUCAGAGGAAGCUGAAGGAACAUCAAAGGCUUUUACAGUUCUUUGACGGCAGGGCCAACAUUCACUAAGAACAUCAUGAGAUGCCUGAUCCUGAUCCUUCCUCAUGUGGGAGCUCAACUGAUAUCAUUCAGCCAUGGCUCAGGGUUUGGUCUAACAUGUAUGGCGAUGGUGUGAAGGAUGCCCCACCGAGGAUGACACACAGACAGCUCACAUCCUUUCAAAAGGGUUGAACUUUGACAAAUCCUGGCAGUGGAACUGAUCCCAGCCGCAGAAACAACAACGCUGCAGCUGUAGAAGCAGAGCAGCAAUGCAAAGCCCCCAGCAUCCAACAUGGAGGAGAGGAAGCACUCACAUCACUUAGUAAUGACAACAACAUCAUCAUCCUUCCAGCAGACAAGAGUAGGUGCACAGUUCUGCUAAACCAGAAAGACUAACAUGAGAAAAUUUACUUAUGAGCCCCUGAAAUGAGACCCAGGAAGCAUACGGAUCAGUAUUUAGGUCUGACCCUCAUCACUGAAUGCAGCACAACCUGGGUGUCAACACAGAGCGAACACCAUCCCCACAGAGACAGCAGCAGAGAGGAACAUCAAAUCAACAAGGCCCUGAGUAAAUGUGGACAUCUGUCAAAGCUGGAGGCAGGGCUGCAACAAUUCGUCAUCAUCGAUGAUGCUGACUAUAAAAACUUGUCGAUGUGUCAUACGUGUGUUUUUGUAACUGCAAUACACUACA
This is a long non-coding RNA of Oreochromis niloticus (Nile tilapia), 875 nucleotides long. RefSeq lists it as uncharacterized. Lineage: Eukaryota; Metazoa; Chordata; Actinopteri; Cichliformes; Cichlidae. The transcript has 2 exons. The record is from RefSeq and is a predicted model, not a curated record.